ACCUGGGACAGAUCAGUUGGUAGAGCAUAAGACUCUUAAUCACAGGGUUGUGGGUUCAAUUCCUGUGUUGGGCA
Non-coding RNA from Podarcis lilfordi (Lilford's wall lizard), 74 nucleotides. NCBI's taxonomy places the organism in Eukaryota, Metazoa, Chordata, Lepidosauria, Squamata, Lacertidae. The record is from the annotation of a GenBank genome assembly.